UGGGGAAUAUUGGACAAUGGGCGAAAGCCUGAUCCAGCCAUGCCGCGUGUGUGAAGAAGGUCUUCGGAUUGUAAAGCACUUUAAGUUGGGAGGAAGGGCAGUUACCUAAUACGUAUCUGUUUUGACGUUACCGACAGAAUAAGCACCGGCUAACUCUGUGCCAGCAGCCGCGGUAAUACAGAGGGUGCAAGCGUUAAUCGGAAUUACUGGGCGUAAAGCGCGCGUAGGUGGUUUGUUAAGUUGGAUGUGAAAUCCCCGGGCUCAACCUGGGAACUGCAUUCAAAACUGACAAGCUAGAGUAUGGUAGAGGUGGUGGAAUUUCCUGUGUAGCGGUGAAAUGCGUAGAUAUAGGAAGGAACACCAGUGGCGAAGGCGACCACCUGGACUGAUACUGACACUGAGGUGCGAAAGCGUGGGGAGCAAACAGGAUUAGAUACCCCAGUAGUCCCUGAGCGGGCUGGCAAGGCGCAU
Molecule: ribosomal RNA, 471 nt
Filed under: uncultured bacterium
Lineage: Bacteria
Description: bacterial SSU rRNA
Rfam family: Bacterial small subunit ribosomal RNA
Source: RNAcentral